GGGUCUCUAUGGGUCUCUAAGGGGAGCUAUGGGGAGCUAUGGAGAGCUAUGGGUCUCUAUGGGGAGCUAUGGGGUCUCUAUGGGUCUCUAUGGGGAGCUAUGGGGCACUAUGGGGUAUCUAUGGGUCUCUAUGGGUCUCUAUGGGUCUCUAUGGGGAGCUAUGGGGUCCUAUGGAUCUCUAUGGGGAGCUAUGGGGAGCUAUGGGGAGCUAUGGGGAGCUAUGGAGUCCUAUGGGUCUCUAUGGGGAGCUAUGGGGAGCUAUGGAGUCCCAUGGGUCUCUAUGGGUCUCUAUGGGGAGCUAUGGGGUCUCUAUGGGUCUCUAUGGGGAGCUAUGGGGAGCUAUGGGUCCCUAUGGGUCCCUAUGGGUCUCUAUGGGUCUCUAUAGGGUCCUAUGGGUCCCUAUGGGUCUCUAUGGGGUCCUAUGGGUCCCUAUGGGUCUCUAUGGGUCUCUAUGGGGUCUCUAUUGGUCUCUAUGGGGUCUCUAUAGGGUCCUAUGGGUCCCUAUGGGUCUCUAUGGGUCUCUAUGGGGUCUCUAUGGGGUCUCUAUGGGGUCCUAUGUGUCUCUAUGGGUCUCUAUGGGGUCUCUAUGGGGCACUAUAGGGCACUAUGGGGUCUCUAUGGGUCUCUAUGGGGUCUCUAUGGGUCCCCAUGGGGUCUCUAUGGGUAUCCAUGUGUCUCUAUGGGUCUCUAUGGGUUGCUAUGGGUCGCUAUGGGUAUCCAUGUGUCCCUAUGGGUCUCUAUGGGUCUCUAUGGGUCCCUAUGGGGUCUCCAUGGGGUCUCCAUGGGUCUCUAUAGGGUCCUAUGGGUCCCUAUGUGUCUCUAUGGGGUCCCUAUGGGUUGCUAUGGGUCGCUAUGGGUUGCUAUGGAGAUGCCGGUUGCCAUGGCGACUUACGAAGCCGUUGCCCAUAAUGCGGUAGAGGCCUUUGAGCGACUCCAGGUCCUUGUUGGUGAAAUGGAACUGCACCAUGCGGGAGUUCCUGAACAGCGGCCCCAAAGUCGUCUGAAAACCAAAGGAGGGGGGGGUCAAAAAAUAUCCCGGGGUNNNNNNCCCCCCCCCCCAUUGGUGAAGGAACGACCCCCAUAAUCCACCCUAUUUGUUUUUUUUUUGGGGGGGGGAAUACGAUUUAGCAGCUAUUAAUCUGCCAAGACCUGCCCAUACAUCUCAAUAAGAUGGAGCAGCUAUUAAGCUGCAAGGACCUGCCCAUAGAUCUCAAUGGAACACCUCACAGUGCCCCCCCCUCUAAAAGCAAAUGGGGAGGGUCAAAAAAUAUCCUGGGGGGGGGGCGGCACCCCAAGACCCCCCCACACCCCACAGUGAAGGAACGACCCCCAUAAUCCACCCUAUUUAUUUUUUUUGGGGGGGAGAAUAUGAUUUAGCAACUAUUAAUCUGCCAAGACCUGCCCAUACAUCUCAAUAAGAUAGAGCAGCUAUUAAGCUGCAAGGACCUGCCCAUAGGUCUCAAUGGAACCCCUCACAGUGCCCUCCCC
RNAcentral lists this long non-coding RNA (1488 nucleotides) under Phasianus colchicus (ring-necked pheasant). Its description in RNAcentral is "lncRNA (ENSPCLG00000017210.1)". Lineage: Eukaryota; Metazoa; Chordata; Aves; Galliformes; Phasianidae. The record is from RNAcentral.